This 81-nucleotide small RNA is filed under the name Flavobacterium sp. 9R. RNAcentral describes it as "Flavo-1". It matches the Rfam family "Flavo-1 RNA". Lineage: Bacteria; Pseudomonadati; Bacteroidota; Flavobacteriia; Flavobacteriales; Flavobacteriaceae. The record is from RNAcentral.
CUCUAGCCCCGAUAGCAGUGAAAAUCCUCUAGACUCGUGACCAAACGAGUCUAGAGAUUGUAGCGGAUAGCGGGACGAUGA